Bos taurus (domestic cattle) is the source of this 73-nucleotide non-coding RNA. The record is from Rfam. NCBI's taxonomy places the organism in Eukaryota, Metazoa, Chordata, Mammalia, Artiodactyla, Bovidae.
UCCCUGGUGGUCCAGCGGCUAAGACUCUGCAUUCCCAAUGCAGGGGACCUCUGUUCAAUUCCUGGUCAGGGAA